This 1787-nucleotide long non-coding RNA is filed under the name Helianthus annuus (common sunflower). RNAcentral describes it as "hypothetical non coding rna". The record is from RNAcentral. Lineage: Eukaryota; Viridiplantae; Streptophyta; Magnoliopsida; Asterales; Asteraceae.
GUUCAAGUUUUCUUGUCUUUGGUGAUGAGGUGAAAUACCCAUUGCGUUGAAGCAUACUUAUCAUGUAUAAAUCACUUGUAUAUCCUCAAACAUAGGCCUAAACCAUCAUUGUUUUGCUUCGUAUUAUCAUCCAAAUGAAUUACUUAAAUAAGGCACUUGACACUUUCAAUACGGCAGUUGUCUCCCCUUAUAUCAUGUUAUGUUAUGUUCACAUCUCUUACAAGUUACCCUGUUGGAAAGCUUGAUCAUGUUCAAGGUGGUCAAACUUUUGCAUUGACUUAUGGAGAAAGUCAAAUUGAAGGGAUUGUCAAGCUUGCCUAUACAAAAGUAUCUCAAUGAGGAAUUUAAGUUUUAAUGUUGUGACCAGGUUUGGAAUGGGAAAAAUCCUACUGAGGUUAUAAGUUAUAACAGAACUAUGUGGCUUUGUGACAAUCCUUUCCGGAACAUUCCUACUUCACAGAACCAAAGACAUGGUUUAGGAUAUGCUGCUUUACUUUAUUGAGUCCAUUAUUUAUUUUUAAAAUUGCUUAAACUUACAAUCUUGGCAAGUGUGAUCAUGAUAUCUUGACACUUAAAAGUUUUAAUUAUAGUUAGGCUAGAUAUAAGCAUUCCCAGUUAGUUUUAUUUUAUGUAUAUGUGAUUAGAAAGUAGAAUCGUAAUUCGGUCUAUUAUAGACAUAUUUGAAGCCACCAAAUGUACUGACAUAUUUUUCUAACUCUUAUUCUCUUUUUUUUACUCUUUUAUAUUAAGUUACAUCGCGUAUGCAAACUUAUUCUUCUAUAUAUUUUUUGUUAUAAAAUUGAUGAUUUUGGACUUUUUUAACAUAUGCGAUUAUCUGUAUAAUAUUUCCUUUGUUGAUUUAUCUACUUUAAAUUCUACUGUUCCAUAGUCUUUCUUAUCUAUGGAAGGGGACCUGGGACAACAAGCAUGGCUAUGGCUAUGGUGCCAAUGCUUUUGCCCGAUCAAAGGAUUGGAUACAUUAUGUAAGUGAGAAUCUAUUUGAACCUGUUUCAUUUAAAUUUUAACCGUGCAGUUGCUACCUAAUGGUGUUACCUAUCAUUGACGUUUUAAAUUAAUGUAGGUUUUUGUUUGUGACAGGUAACAACCAGGUGCACACACACCCAGUUUCCCCUGUUUACACAACUCAGGGAUCUUAGUGUGUUGUCAUGGAUAUUGUUGUGUCGUUUCUUUUAGUAUGACCGAUCAAUUUUUACUAAUAAUUUAAAUGAAAUAUACUUUGAUAUUAUUAAACAAACUUUUUUGUUUAGAAUGCAAAGAAAGUUAGUUGGGUUUGGGUUAUAUAUAUUUAAAAUGUAUAAAAUAUAUUCAGUUUUGGCUUCUUUUGGUUGAUCAGAUAGAGUACAAGAAUGGGGAUAAGAUUGGAAGGAUGGGGAAACGUUGACAUGAUUAUCAUGUGGAUUGCAUCAAGAAGUGGCCAUUGAUAAAGAGAUUAUGUCUAGUAUGCAAAACCAAAUGCUCAAGUUAAGAACAAAGUCAACAAUUUGCUUGCUUUACAAGGUGAAAAUGCCAAAUAUGAAUAUCAUUCCAAACACAUUCACAUGUACCAUCAAUUUCUUCUACCUUAUUGGUAUGAUCUUAUGGUUGGCAUGCAGUGAACCUCAAAGUUUCAAGAAGGUAGACUAAAGGAUAAUACAAGUUUUAAGAAGAUAGAUUAAAGAAUGGUACUUUUGAUUGUAUUGUUGUUUUAUUUUGUGUACACUUAAUAUAUAUUAGCUUUGUUUGUCACGUUGUUCAUAUAGUUUUGUGUAAUCUGACUCUAUAUUAUU